Molecule: unclassified non-coding RNA, 22 nt
Filed under: Chlamydomonas reinhardtii
Lineage: Eukaryota; Viridiplantae; Chlorophyta; Chlorophyceae; Chlamydomonadales; Chlamydomonadaceae
Description: small RNA Cre_2320
Source: RNAcentral
UAGGCAGCUUGUAAGUGCGUGG